This is an RNA transcript of Ahaetulla prasina, 991 nucleotides long. It is a transcript of the gene named serine/threonine-protein kinase 40-like, with no coding region annotated. Lineage: Eukaryota; Metazoa; Chordata; Lepidosauria; Squamata; Colubridae. The transcript has 2 exons. The record is from RefSeq and is a predicted model, not a curated record.
AGGUUCUGCCCAUCAAAUGCCCCUCUGUGCCAGUUUAAUCGCAAUUGCUUAAGCAAGGCGAGGGACUGUCCUUGGGGAGUCUUUGGCAAGUCUGGGACAUGCUUGCUGGGAAGAAUUUGACGCUUCCGGUAAGACAAACUAUUUCUGCACCCACCCUCUCCUUUCCGAAAUCUCUUGAGAAUUUUAUUCAUGGUUUUAAAAAGCAAUCAUUUUGCACGGUGCAAAACCUGCAGUUGUAGCCCUCGUGGAAGCAGCAUAGAGCGGGCUUGUGUCUAAUCAGUGGGUAGGGUGGGCGUCUCCCUGCUCAAUUAACUCUGGUCCCUGUGACUUGGGACUAUGCGAGCUGGUGGAAGAUCUGGAGUCCAGUCGGAUGGCCCGAAAAAUGAAGAAACAUAUUUGUUUAGUGUUGGACUGCCUCUGUGCCCAUGACUUCAGUGACAAGACAGCUGAGCUCAUCAAUCUCCAGCAUUAUGUCAUCAAAGAGAAGCGGCUUAGUGAACGAGAGACCGUUGUCAUCUUCUAUGACGUUGUGCGGAUGGUGGAAGCCUUGCACAAGGUUGAUCCUCCUCUUCUUUGUGGCAGCCCCUCAAAUACUGAAGCACCGCUAUCAUAUCAGCCUGAAUCCUUUUUUUCAUCGGACUAGACAAUCCCAAUUCCUGCAACCAUUCUUCAGAUGUUUUAGCCUCCAGCCCCUUAGUCAUCUUUGUUGCUCUUUUCUGCACUCGACCUAUUUUUUAUAAUAUGGUGCCCAAACCUGGAUGCAGUAUUCUAAGUGUGAUCUUACUAAGGCUUUAUAAAGUGGUACUAAUACUUAAUGUGAUCUCGAUUCAGUCCCUCUAUUAAUGCAGUUACUGCUAUUGAGCCAGGUUUCACUUAAUCUGUCUCUGAUUUGUCUUGCCUAAGUAUAAAACCUUAGAUUCACUAAAAUUGUUGCUCUGGCAAAGGAAAGACCCAUGCCACUCCUCCUAUUUAAGGUGCCUAUUAAAGUCUU